Molecule: long non-coding RNA, 1044 nt
Filed under: Homo sapiens (human)
Lineage: Eukaryota; Metazoa; Chordata; Mammalia; Primates; Hominidae
Description: HSALNT0168324
Source: RNAcentral
UUUUUAAAACAAAGAUGAGUAUUUAUUAAAGACAGUUAUUUUCACUCACCAGCUUUUGGGGGAAUUGCACUCAUUCCUUUAGAAAUUUGCUAAGUUUCCCAGGCAAAGAGGGUGUGUCCUUGCCAAGAAGACACGGAACGCUCUUUAGCCCUGGUGGUUGCUCCCUAUUGUCUCAGACAAAGUACGGUUUCAUGUUGUAACCAUUAUUUCAUGUACCUUACAGCCAAUAAAAUAAUCACAGAGAUGAUUUGGUCUCAGUGCUUAAGUCAUAAAGCCUCUCUGCCAUCAGAGAUGGAGGUUUAAUUGUGAGUGACGUUGGAUGAGAACCUGGUUCUGGGCUGUAUCGGAGUUAUCCAGCUGUUCUUUCAUCACACAUCCAGAAAGCCAGUCAUACUUUUCUCCAGCUCAUCUGUGCAUUCUUGAUCCUGCCUCUAACAUUUUAUUUCGAAUUCCCCUGAUAGCCUCAGUGAAAGUUCCCAGCAGAGAUUGAUUGCAGGGCAUGACCCAAAUUUGUAACUGGCCACAAAACGCUGUAAAACAAAGUUCACCGAAUACCUUCCAGCUGAUUGUAAGUGAUUUUUGAAAAUGAUCUGGUUGUGUUUUUCUUCUUUUUUCCACAUAAAAUGUCUGAAAAGAGGGACUUUUUGCCAAGCUCUGAUUUUUGUAACAUCAUCUAUAAAGCCUGACAAUACGGACCGCAUGGAACUAACUGCAGGUGGUGGCAGCAGCCCGGCCUCGCUAGUGGAGUUUUGUUUGAUGGGACAUGACUAUUUAACAGAAUGAGAGCAGAGGGUAGGUGUCCUGGUAAGGGAGGAUGAAGAUCUGGGUAACAGCAACUCUUGGGAAAUUCCUUAGUGUUCCUAGUGGGUCUUUUCUUCAUUUGUAAAAUGAAGAAGAGCAUUAGUCAAGCUCUGUCUUUGCAGAACCCCAAAUCUUUCCAUGGAAUGAAAUGCAUCAGAAAGUAUUUGCUGUAGACUCAGGCAUGUCUGGGCCUGCUGGGAGGCCAGUGGAUUGUUCCCUCUCAGUGGAUUGUUCUAUCUCCGU